GCGCCCAUAGUUCAAUGGAUAGAACAUUUGGUUGCGGACCAAAAGGUUGGAGGUUCAAUUCCUCCUGGGCGCACAA
This 76-nucleotide transfer RNA is filed under the name Candidatus Amesiibacteriota bacterium. Its description in RNAcentral is "Candidatus Amesbacteria bacterium (hot springs metagenome) tRNA-Arg". It matches the Rfam family "tRNA". Rfam says of the family: Transfer RNA (tRNA) molecules are approximately 80 nucleotides in length. Their secondary structure includes four short double-helical elements and three loops (D, anti-codon, and T loops). The record is from RNAcentral. Lineage: Bacteria; Candidatus Amesiibacteriota.